RNAcentral lists this ribosomal RNA (497 nucleotides) under uncultured bacterium. RNAcentral's name for it is "partial 16S ribosomal RNA". It matches the Rfam family "Bacterial small subunit ribosomal RNA", at positions 28 to 507 of the family's 1533-position model. The record is from RNAcentral.
GAUGAACGCUGGCGGCGUGCCUAAUACAUGCAAGUCGAGCGAACAGACGAGGAGCUUGCUCCUCUGACGUUAGCGGCGGACGGGUGAGUAACACGUGGAUAACCUACCUAUAAGACUGGGAUAACUUCGGGAAACCGGAGCUACUACCGGAUAAUAUAUUGAACCGCAUGGUUCAAUAGUGAAAGACGGUUUUGCUGUCACUUAUAGAUGGAUCCGCGCCGCAUUAGCUAGUUGGUAAGGUAACGGCUUACCAAGGCAACGAUGCGUAGCCGACCUGAGAGGGUGAUCGGCCACACUGGAACUGAGACACGGUCCAGACUCCUACGGGAGGCAGCAGUAGGGAAUCUUCCGCAAUGGGCGAAAGCCUGACGGAGCAACGCCGCGUGAGUGAUGAAGGUCUUCGGAUCGUAAAACUCUGUUAUUAGGGAAGAACAAAUGUGUAAGUAACCAUGCACGUCUUGACGGUACCUAAUCAGAAAGCCACGGCUAACUACGUG